AUGUGGGAAGUAUGGCUGGAUUGUAGGCUCGAGAUGUGCUUGCAUGUCCCAUGGAGUGCAUGGACUCCGACGAGGCCGACCGCAGAGGUGCCUGUGUUGCCGAUCGGUGACGGGACCGGUUUGGGAGGGGCACCCGGGCAGGUGGCCUCGGCCCCCUCUUCUUCUCCUGCGGCGGUCAGGGUGGCCGAGCCUGCGGCGUCGUCCGCUCAACUGCAGGUGCGGAUCCAGCCGACGCUGACCGGGAUGUGGAUCUUUGUCAGGGACCUCACUGGCAGUGGCGGAGCUUGGCCCAGAAAACUGGGCGGGCCGACAGUAGGAAAGAACUAUUGGGAUGGUGUUUCAUGGCCCAAAAGUAAGUAUACACUACAGAAAAAUCGAAUGGGCUGGGCGGGCCACGGCCCAUUCGGCCUUGCUGUAGCUCCGCCACUGCUCACUGGUAAGAUCAUCACCCUCGGGGUUAAUGGUUCAGAUACCAUCGACAUUGUGAAGACCAAGAUUCAGGAAUUACGGGAUCUUGUGCUUCAGAGAAAGUGCGAUGAAGGCCUCAAGGAUUUUGGACGUUAUAACGUCAAGGAUUUUUCUGUUGUCUACCACGACGGGAAGCGGCUGGAGGCCGGUCGUACUUUCGCAGAUUAUGGCAUCCAGAGUGGGUCAAUUCUCCAGGCAAAGAUGCUGAUCUACGUCUUGAAGCUGGCAGACAUUGUGGCCGGAAAGAGUGGCAGGACCAUCACUCUUGAGGUCGAUGGCUCAGAUACCAUCUACAGUCUCAAGGCAAAGAUUCUUGACGAGGAGGCCAUUCCCCCGGGCAAUCAGCGGUUGUUCUAUGGUAGGAAGUUGCUGGAGGAUGACCGUACCCUGGAUUACUACGACAUGAAAAGUGAGAAUGUCCUUCAUGUUAGUUCUAGGCAGCCGAACAGAAACAGGGUGCGUAUCUACAUCAACACUUUGACCGGCAAGACCAUCACCUGUGUUAGGGUCUGGACUUCCACUAUAAUUGGCAAUGUGAAGGCCAAGAUCCACGAUGAGACGGGCAUUCCCCCUUCCAAACAUUGCCUCUUCUUCAACGGGACCCUACUGGAGGACGGCAGCACCCUAGCGGACUACAGCAUCCACACAGAGUCCACCCUCCGUUUCCAGCUAGCCAUUCCAGGUGCUCCCAGUCCCAGGUCUCAGCUUUCCCUGCUUGGUGGUCAGCGAGAUGGAUAG
This 1206-nucleotide ribosomal RNA is filed under the name Triticum aestivum (bread wheat). Its description in RNAcentral is "partial small subunit ribosomal RNA". Lineage: Eukaryota; Viridiplantae; Streptophyta; Magnoliopsida; Poales; Poaceae. The record is from RNAcentral.